UGAAAUAAGUCGCAACGUUGCUUCAGUUUUGUGAGCCGGCUUCAGUCGCCAUUUUCUAGUUCUUUGUCGUGUGUGAAGCUGGUGGUGUGCAUCUGACUCGCCAAGUAUUGGACACAUGAGGCAGCCAUGAGAAUUCCACAAGUUGUGAAGCAGAAAUUGUGGUGUAUCUGCCCUCGUGCUCUCACCUCCAUGCCAGAUGGCCAUUAAGAAGGACCAUAAAUGUGUGGAUUGUGCAGGCAAACAUUGUGGUUCCUUCGGUUUCCAUAGUUAG
Molecule: long non-coding RNA, 271 nt
Organism: Daphnia carinata
Lineage: Eukaryota; Metazoa; Arthropoda; Branchiopoda; Diplostraca; Daphniidae
Exons: 3
Source: RefSeq, a predicted model, not a curated record